AUUGAACGCUGGCGGCAGGCUUAACACAUGCAAGUCGAGCGGUAGCACAGGGGAGCUUGCUCCCUGGGUGACGAGCGGCGGACGGGUGAGUAAUGUCUGGGAAACUGCCUGAUGGAGGGGGAUAACUACUGGAAACGGUAGCUAAUACCGCAUAACGUCGCAAGACCAAAGAGGGGGACCUUCGGGCCUCUUGCCAUCAGAUGUGCCCAGAUGGUAUUAGCUAGUAGGCGGGGUAAUGGCUCACCUAGGCGACGAUCCCUAGCUGGUCUGAGAGGAUGACCGGCCACAUGAGAACUGGGACACGGACCAUACUCCUACGGGAGGGAGCAGUGGGGAAUAUGGCACAAUGGGCGGAAGCCUGAUGCAGCCAUGCCGCGUGUGUGAAGAAGGCCUUCGGGUUGUAAAGCACUUUCAGCGAGGAGGAAGGUGGUGAGCUUAAUACGUUCAUCAAUUGACGUUACUCGCAGAAGAAGCACCGGCUAACUCCGUG
This 490-nucleotide ribosomal RNA is filed under the name uncultured bacterium. RNAcentral describes it as "partial 16S ribosomal RNA". It matches the Rfam family "Bacterial small subunit ribosomal RNA", at positions 30 to 507 of the family's 1533-position model. The record is from RNAcentral.